CGAAUCCUACGGGAGGCAGCAGUGGGGGAUAUUGCACAAUGGGGGGAACCCUGAUGCAGCGACGCCGCGUGGGUGAAGAAGCGCCUCAGCGCGUAAAGCCCUGUCAGCAGGGAAGAAGAUGACGGUACCUGAAGAAGAAGCCCCGGCUAACUACGUGCCAGCAGCCGCGGUAAUACGUAGGGGGCAAGCGUUAUCCGGAUUUACUGGGUGUAAAGGGGGCGCAGACGGCGAUGCAAGCCAGGAGUGAAAGCCCGGGGCCCAACCCCGGGACUGCUCUUGGAACUGCGUGGCUGGAGUGCAGGAGG
Molecule: ribosomal RNA, 305 nt
Filed under: uncultured bacterium
Lineage: Bacteria
Description: bacterial SSU rRNA
Rfam family: Bacterial small subunit ribosomal RNA
Source: RNAcentral